AGAAUUUGAUCUUGGUUCAGGAUGAACGCUAGCUACAGGCUUAACACAUGCAAGUCGAGGGGCAGCAUUGGAGUAGCAAUACUUCAGAUGGCGACCGGCGCACGGGUGAGUAACACGUAUCCAACCUGCCGCUUACUCGGGGAUAGCCUUUCGAAAGAAAGAUUAAUACCCGAUGGUAUAAAGAGUUCGCAUGUUCUCUUUAUUAAAGAAUUUCGGUAAGCGAUGGGGAUGCGUUCCAUUAGAUAGUUGGCGGGGUAACGGCCCACCAAGUCUACGAUGGAUAGGGGUUCUGAGAGGAAGGUCCCCCACAUUGGAACUGAGACACGGUCCAAACUCCUACGGGAGGCAGCAGUGAGGAAUAUUGGUCAAUGGACGAGAGUCUGAACCAGCCAAAGUAGCGUGAAGGAUGACUGCCCUAUGGGUUGUAAACUUCUUUUAUAAGGGAAUAAAGUGAGGGACGUGUCCCUUUUUGUAUGUACCUUAUGAAUAAGGAUCGGCUAACUCCGUGCCAGCCGCGGC
This 519-nucleotide ribosomal RNA is filed under the name uncultured bacterium. RNAcentral describes it as "bacterial SSU rRNA". It matches the Rfam family "Bacterial small subunit ribosomal RNA", at positions 8 to 518 of the family's 1533-position model. The record is from RNAcentral.